GCUUCACUCUUUGCUCUCGGAAGAACGCUCGCCCUCUCACAGAUCUGAUUUUUGAGCGAAACGUUUUUUCCGCGAAGCGAUGGCUCUGGUGCUGCAUUCUUGGAAGACUAACAAAAAUGCUUACAAGGCUUUCAUAGCUGCAGAAUACAAUGGUGUCAAACUUGACCUUUCCCCAGAUUUUACAAUGGGUGUAACCAAUAAGAGUCCUGAAUAUCUCAAAAUGAAUCCUAUUGGGAAG
RNAcentral lists this unclassified non-coding RNA (238 nucleotides) under Hevea brasiliensis (rubber tree). Lineage: Eukaryota; Viridiplantae; Streptophyta; Magnoliopsida; Malpighiales; Euphorbiaceae. The record is from RNAcentral.